RNAcentral lists this ribosomal RNA (141 nucleotides) under uncultured eukaryote. RNAcentral describes it as "partial 18S ribosomal RNA". It matches the Rfam family "Eukaryotic small subunit ribosomal RNA", at positions 1299 to 1458 of the family's 1831-position model. The record is from RNAcentral.
UGGUGGAGUGAUUUGUCAGGUUAAUUCCGGUAACGAACGAGACCUCCGCCUGCUAAAUAGUCACGCUGUGCUUUGCACACGCGGGCGUACUUCUUAGAGGGACUACGGGCGGUGAGCUCGCGGAAGUUGGAGGCAAUAACA